This 68-nucleotide transfer RNA is filed under the name Proteles cristata (aardwolf). RNAcentral describes it as "tRNA-Val". It matches the Rfam family "tRNA". From Rfam's summary of the family: Transfer RNA (tRNA) molecules are approximately 80 nucleotides in length. The record is from RNAcentral. Lineage: Eukaryota; Metazoa; Chordata; Mammalia; Carnivora; Hyaenidae.
CAAGAUGUAGCUUAAGCAAAGCAUCUGGCCUACGCCCAGAAGAUUUCACAUCAAACUGACCAUCUUGA